GAUGAACGCUAGCGGCAGGCCUAAUACAUGCAAGUCGGACGGGAUCUAGAUCUAAGCUUGCUUAGAUUUAGUGAGAGUGGCGCACGGGUGCGUAACGCGUGAGCAACCUACCCAUAUCAGGGGGAUAGCCCGGAGAAAUCCGGAUUAAGACUGCAUAACACAACGACUCGGCAUCGAGAUGUUGUUAAAUAUUUAUAGGAUAUGGAUGGGCUCGCGUGACAUUAGCUAGUUGGUAAGGUAACGGCUUACCAAGGCUACGAUGUCUAGGGGCUCUGAGAGGAGAAUCCCCCACACUGGUACUGAGACACGGACCAGACUCCUACGGGAGGCAGCAGUAAGGAAUAUUGGUCAAUGGAGGGAACUCUGAACCAGCCAUGCCGCGUGCAGGAUGACUGCCCUAUGGGUUGUAAACUGCUUUUGUCCAGGAAUAACCACCACUACGUGUAGUGGCUUGAAUGUACUGGAAGAAUAAGGAUCGGCUAACUCCGUGCCAGCAGCCGCGGUAAUACGGAGGAUCCGAGCGUUAUCCGGAUUUAUUGGGUUUAAAGGGUGCGUAGGCGGCUCAUUAAGUCAGGGGUGAAAGACGGCAGCUCAACUGUCGCAGUGCCUUUGAUACUGAUGAGCUUGAAUGUGGUUGAAGAUGGCGGAAUGAGACAAGUAGCGGUGAAAUGCAUAGAUAUGUCUCAGAACUCCGAUUGCGAAGGCAGCUGUCUAAGUCAUUAUUGACGCUGAUGCACGAAAGCGUGGGGAUCGAACAGGAUUAGAUACCCUGGUAGUCCACGCCCUAAACGAUGAUAACUCGAUGUUGGCGAUACACAGUCAGCGUCUUAGCGAAAGCGUUAAGUUAUCCACCUGGGGAGUACGCCCGCAAGGGUGAAACUCAAAGGAAUUGACGGGGGCCCGCACAAGCGGAGGAGCAUGUGGUUUAAUUCGAUGAUACGCGAGGAACCUUACCCGGGCUUGAAAGUUACUGAAUUAUCUAGAGAUAGAUAAGUCCUUCGGGACAGGAAACUAGGUGCUGCAUGGCUGUCGUCAGCUCGUGCCGUGAGGUGUUGGGUUAAGUCCCGCAACGAGCGCAACCCCUAUGUUUAGUUGCCAGCAUGUAAUGAUGGGGACUCUAAACAGACUGCCAGCGUAAGCUGUGAGGAAGGUGGGGACGACGUCAAGUCAUCAUGGCCCUUACGUCCGGGGCUACACACGUGCUACAAUGGAUGGUACAGCGGGCAGCUACCUGGUAACAGGAUGCUAAUCUCGAAAAGCCAUUCACAGUUCGGAUUGAGGUCUGCAACUCGACCUCAUGAAGUUGGAUUCGCUAGUAAUCGCGUAUCAGCAAUGACGCGGUGAAUACGUUCCCGGGCCU
RNAcentral lists this ribosomal RNA (1360 nucleotides) under uncultured bacterium. Its description in RNAcentral is "bacterial SSU rRNA". It matches the Rfam family "Bacterial small subunit ribosomal RNA", at positions 28 to 1381 of the family's 1533-position model. The record is from RNAcentral.